This 459-nucleotide ribosomal RNA is filed under the name Pseudomonas sp. HA-OP22. Its description in RNAcentral is "bacterial SSU rRNA". It matches the Rfam family "Bacterial small subunit ribosomal RNA", at positions 1 to 472 of the family's 1533-position model. The record is from RNAcentral. Lineage: Bacteria; Pseudomonadati; Pseudomonadota; Gammaproteobacteria; Pseudomonadales; Pseudomonadaceae.
CCUAGAGUUUGAUCAUGGCUCCAGAUGAAGGCUGGCGGCAGGCCUUACACAUGCAAGUCGACGGAGCACGGGUACUUGUACUGGUGCGAGCGGCGGACGGGUGAGUAAUACCUAGGAAUCUCCUGGUAGUGGGGGAUAACGUUCGGAAACGGCGCUAACACCGCAUACUUCCUACGGGAGAAAGCAGGGGGACUUCGGCCUUGCGCUAUCAGAUGAGCCUAGGUCGGAUUAGCUAGUUGGUGAGGUAAUGGCUCGCCAAGGCUACGAUCCGUAACUGGUCUGAGAGGAUGAUCAGUCACACUGGAACUGAGACACGGUCCAGCUCCUACGGGAGGCAGCAGUGGGGAAUAUUGGACAAUGGGCGAAAGCCUGAUCCAGCAUGCCGCGUGUGUGAAGAAGGUCUUCGGAUUGUAAAGCACUUUAAGUUGGGAGGAAGGGCCGUUACCUAAUACGUGAUGG